RNAcentral lists this ribosomal RNA (253 nucleotides) under uncultured prokaryote. RNAcentral describes it as "partial 16S ribosomal RNA". It matches the Rfam family "Bacterial small subunit ribosomal RNA", at positions 525 to 777 of the family's 1533-position model. The record is from RNAcentral.
ACGUAGGAGGCGAGCGUUGUCCGGAAUUACUGGGUGUAAAGCGCGCGUAGGUGGCAGGCCAAGUCUGUGGUGAAAGCGCCCGGCUCAACUGGGCAUGGUCCAUGGAAACUGGUCAGCUGGAGGACGGUAGAGGCGAGUGGAAUUCCCGGUGUAGUGGUGAAAUGCGUAGAGAUCGGGAGGAAGGCCGGUGGCGAAGGCGGCGCUCUGGAACGUUUCUGACGCUGAGGCUCGAAAGCGUGGGGAGCAAACAGGA